UAGGGAAUCUUCGGCAAUGGGGGCAACCCUGACCGAGCAACGCCGCGUGAGUGAAGAAGGUUUUCGGAUCGUAAAGCUCUGUUGUAAGAGAAGAACGUGUGUGAGAGUGGAAAGUUCACACAGUGACGGUAACUUACCAGAAAGGGACGGCUAACUACGUGCCAGCAGCCGCGGUAAUACGUAGGUCCCGAGCGUUGUCCGGAUUUAUUGGGCGUAAAGCGAGCGCAGGCGGUUUAAUAAGUCUGAAGUUAAAGGCAGUGGCUUAACCAUUGUUCGCUUUGGAAACUGUUAAACUUGAGUGCAGAAGGGGAGAGUGGGAUUCCAUGUGUAGCGGUGAAAUGCGUAGAUAUAUGGAGGAACACCGGUGGCGAAAGCGGCUCUCUGGUCUGUAACUGACGCUGAGGCUCGAAAGCGUGGGGAGCAAACAGG
This 429-nucleotide ribosomal RNA is filed under the name bacterium. RNAcentral's name for it is "partial 16S ribosomal RNA". It matches the Rfam family "Bacterial small subunit ribosomal RNA", at positions 355 to 776 of the family's 1533-position model. The record is from RNAcentral.